CAGCAGCCGCGGGAAAACAGAGGGUGCGAGCGUUAAUCGGAUUUACUGGGCGUAAAGCGUGCGUAGGCGGCUUCUUAAGUCGGAUGUGAAAUCCCUGAGCUUAACUUAGGAAUUGCAUUCGAUACUGGGAAGCUAGAGUAUGGGAGAGGAUGGUAGAAUUCCAGGUGUAGCGGUGAAAUGCGUAGAGAUCUGGAGGAAUACCGAUGGCGAAGGCAGCCAUCUGGCCUAAUACUGACGCUGAGGUACGAAAGCGUGGGGAGCAAACAGGAUUAGAUACCCCCGGUAGUACCUGUCUCUUAUA
This 301-nucleotide ribosomal RNA is filed under the name uncultured bacterium. RNAcentral's name for it is "partial 16S ribosomal RNA". It matches the Rfam family "Bacterial small subunit ribosomal RNA", at positions 509 to 808 of the family's 1533-position model. The record is from RNAcentral.